Molecule: ribosomal RNA, 1170 nt
Filed under: human oral metagenome
Description: bacterial SSU rRNA
Rfam family: Bacterial small subunit ribosomal RNA
Source: RNAcentral
AGAGUUUGAUCCUGGCUCAGAUUGAACGCUGGCGGCAUGCUUUACACAUGCAAGUCGAACGGCAGCACGAAAGAGCUUGCUCUUUUGGUGGCGAGUGGCGAACGGGUGAGUAAUGCAUCGGAACGUACCGAGUAAUGGGGGAUAACUGUCCGAAAGGACAGCUAAUACCGCAUACGCCCUGAGGGGGAAAGCGGGGGAUCUUAGGACCUCGCGUUAUUCGAGCGGCCGAUGUCUGAUUAGCUAGUUGGUGGGGUAAAGGCCUACCAAGGCGACGAUCAGUAGCGGGUCUGAGAGGACGAUCCGCCACACUGGGACUGAGACACGGCCCAGACUCCUACGGGAGGCAGCAGUGGGGAAUUUUGGACAAUGGGGGCAACCCUGAUCCAGCCAUGCCGCGUGUCUGAAGAAGGCCUUCGGGUUGUAAAGGACUUUUGUCCGGGAAGAAAAGCGCGAUGUUAAUACCAUUGCGUGCUGACGGUACCGGAAGAAUAAGCACCGGCUAACUACGUGCCAGCAGCCGCGGUAAUACGUAGGGUGCGAGCGUUAAUCGGAAUUACUGGGCGUAAAGCGGGCGCAGACGGUUACUUAAGCAGGAUGUGAAAUCCCCGGGCUCAACCUGGGAAUUGCGUUCUGAACUGGGUGGCUAGAGUGUGUCAGAGGGGGGUAGAAUUCCACGUGUAGCAGUGAAAUGCGUAGAGAUGUGGAGGAAUACCGAUGGCGAAGGCAGCCCCCUGGGAUGGCACUGACGUUCAUGCCCGAAAGCGUGGGUAGCAAACAGGAUUAGAUACCCUGGUAGUCCACGCCCUAAACGAUGUCGAUUAGCUGUUGGGCAACUUGAUUGCUUGGUAGCGAAGCUAACGCGUGAAAUCGACCGCCUGGGGAGUACGGUCGCAAGAUUAAAACUCAAAGGAAUUGACGGGGACCCGCACAAGCGGUGGAUGAUGUGGAUUAGUCCUCAUGGCCCUUAUGACCAGGGCUUCACACGUCAUACAAUGGUCGGUACAGAGGGUAGCCAAGCCGCGAGGUGGAGCCAAUCUCACAAAACCGAUCGUAGUCCGGAUUGCACUCUGCAACUCGAGUGCAUGAAGUCGGAAUCGCUAGUAAUCGCAGGUCAGCAUACUGCGGUGAAUACGUUCCCGGGUCUUGUACACACCGCCCGUCACACCAUGG